Molecule: ribosomal RNA, 465 nt
Filed under: uncultured bacterium
Lineage: Bacteria
Description: partial 16S ribosomal RNA
Rfam family: Bacterial small subunit ribosomal RNA
Source: RNAcentral
GACGAACGCUGGCGGCGUGCUUAACACAUGCAAGUCGAACGGAAAGGCCCUGCUUGCAGGGUACUCGAGUGGCGAACGGGUGAGUAACACGUGGGUGAUCUGCCCUGCACUUCGGGAUAAGCCUGGGAAACUGGGUCUAAUACCGGAUAGGAGCCAUUUUUAGUGUGAUGGUUGGAAAGUUUUUUCGGUGUUGGAUGAGCUCGCGGCCUAUCAGCUUGUUGGUGGGGUAAUGGCCUACCAAGGCGGCGACGGGUAGCCGGCCUGUGAGGGUGGACGGCCACAUUGGGACUGAGAUACGGCCCAGGCGCCGACGGGUGGCAGCAGGGGGGAAGAUUGCUCAAGGGGCGCAAGCCGUAUGCAGCGAGGCCGCGGGGGGUAUGACGGCUUUCGGGUUGUAAACUCCUUUCGCUAGGGACGAAGCUUUUUGUGACGGUACCUAGAGAAGAAGCACCGGCUAACUACGUG